GAAACGAAGAAGGACGCGAUAAGCUGCGAUAAGCCAUGACGAGCUGCAAGUAAGCCUUGACUCAUGGAUUUCCGAAUGGGGCAACCCGGCAAGAGUAACGUCUUGUCACCUUAUCUUCGAGAUAAGGAGAAAACACCCGAUGAACUGAAACAUCUAAGUAGUCGGAGGAAAAGAAAUCAAAGAGAUUCCCUGAGUAGCGGCGAGCGAAACGGGAAGAGCCCAAACCAAGAGACUUCGGUUUCUUGGGGUUGCGGACCUGCAACAAACCGGACACUUUAGUGGAAGCAUCUGGGAAGGUGCGGCAAAGAGAGUGAGACCCUCGUACACGAAAGAGUGAAAGGCGGGCAGGGAUCCAGAGUACCACAGGGCACGAGGAACCCGGUGGGAAGCAGGGUGGACCACCAUCCAAGGCUAAAUACAUCGAAACGACCGAUAGUGAAAAGUACCGUGAGGGAAAGGUGAAAAGAACCCCGGGAGGGGAGUGCAAAAGAACCUGAAACCGUAUGUCUACAAACAGUCGGAGCAGAAUUUAACGUGCGACGGCGUGCCUAUUGAAGAAUGAACCGGCGAGUUAAUUUAUGCUGCGAGGUUAAGCGGGAGACGCGGAGCCGAAGCGAAAGCGAGUCUUAAGAGGGCUGUUAGUAGCAUGGAUUAGACCCGAAACCACAGUGAUCUAUGCAUGUCCAGGUUGAAGCUCAGGUAAAAAUGAGUGGAGGACCGAACCCGUGCGUGUUGAAAAACGUUGGGAUGAGGUGUGCAUAGGGGUGAAAUGCCAAUCGAACGUGGAGAUAGCUGGUUCUCCCCGAAAUAGCUUUAGGGCUAGCCUCAGGCGAAUCACCAUAGAGACGGUAGAGCACUGAUCGGGCAAGGGGGCGUAAAGCCUACCGACCCCAGUCAAACUGCGAAUGGCUGCAUGUCAAACUCGGGAGUCAGCGUGCGAGUGAUAAGACCCGUACGCAAGAGGGAAACAGCCCAGACCGCCGGCUAAGGUCCCAAAUGCUGUGCUAAGUGGAGAAGGAUGUAGGACUUCGAAAACAACCAGGAUGUUGGCUCAGAAGCAGCCACCAUUAAAAGAGUGCGUAAUAGCUCACUGGUCGAGAGGCCCUGCGCCGAAAAUAUCCGGGGCUAAAGCACAGAACCGAAGCCGCGGCAGGGUGUACUAAGGUACACACUGGGUAGGGGAGCGUUCUUAUCUGGACGAAGGCAGACCGGAAGGACUGCUGGACGGGUAAGAAGUGAGAAUGCCGGUAUGAGUAGCGAAACGACAGGUGAGAAUCCUGUCCACCGAAAGCCUAAGGGAUCCUGGGCAACGCUCGUCGCCCCAGGGUAAGUCGGGACCUAAGCCGAGGCGAAAAGCAUAGGCGAUGGACAACUGGCGAAAAUUCCAGUACCGGGCGUCUUCGUUUAAGGAUGGAGUGACGCAGGAAGGAAGCUGAGCGCGCGAAUGGUUGGGCGCGUCGAAGGCGGUAGGCUUGUAUGGAGGCAAAUCCCCAUACUACAAGGCCGAGAACCGAUAGAUAGGAAAGACUACGGUCAAUCUGAAUUCAGCUGCACUACACUGCCAAGAAAAGCUUCUAACGAGAAGACGUCCGCCCGUACCAAAACCGACACAGGUAGGCGGGGAGAGAAUCCUAAGGUGCGCGGGAAAACCCUCGUUAAGGAACUCGGCAAAAUGCAUCCGUAACUUCGGGAAAAGGAUGGCCGCUUGGGGUGAAGAGACUUGCUCUCGGAGCUUUGGGCGGCGGCAGAAAAGAGGCCCAAGCGACUGUUUACCACAAACACAGGUGCCUGCGAAAGCGCAAGCUGAAGUAUAGGUGCUGACGCCUGCCCGGUGCAGGAAGGUUAAGGAGAGUUGUUAGUCCUCGAGAUGAAGCAGCGAACUGAAGCCCCUGUAAACGGCGGCCGUAACUAUAACGGUCCUAAGGUAGCGAAAUUCCUUGUCGGGUAAGUUCCGACCCGCACGAAAGGCGUAACGAUUUGGGCACUGUCUCAACGAGGGACCCGGUGAAAUUGAAAUACCUGUGAAGAUGCAGGUUACCCGCGACUGGACAGAAAGACCCCAUGGAGCUUUACUGCAGCUUGGCAUUGGUCUUUGGCAUAUGACGUACAGGAUAGCCGGGAGACUGGGAGGAUAGAUCGCUAGAUUUAUCGGAGUCACCGUUGGGAUACCGGCCUUCAUAUGCGAAGGAUCUAACCGGAACAUUAACAGUGUUCGGGACAGUACCAGGCGGGCAGUUUGACUGGGGCGGUCGCCUCCGAAAGAGCAACGGAGGCGUCCAAAGGUUCCCUCAGCGCGGACAGAAAUCGCGCGCAGAGCAUAAAGGCAGAAGGGAGCUUGACUGCGAGACUGACGGGUCGAGCAGGUACGAAAGUAGGGCUUAGUGAUCCGGUGGAAAGAGAGUGGAAUUGCCAUCGCUCAACGGAUAAAAGCUACCCUGGGGAUAACAGGCUAAUCUCUCCCAAGAGUCCAUAUCGACGGGGAGGUUUGGCACCUCGAUGUCGGCUCAUCACAUCCUGGGGCUGAAGCAGGUCCCAAGGGUUGGGCUGUUCGCCCAUUAAAGUGGUACGUGAGCUGGGUUCAGAACGUCGUGAGACAGUUCGGUCCAUAUCCAUCGCGGGCG
Molecule: ribosomal RNA, 2621 nt
Filed under: human metagenome
Description: bacterial LSU rRNA
Rfam family: Bacterial large subunit ribosomal RNA
Source: RNAcentral